ACGGUGCGGGCGGCCUCGAGGUGAGCGGUCUCGUUGGCACGGCCGUGAGGGCCUCAGGCACGGCAACCAUGGAGCGGGACUGGGCCAUGUUGACACCGUCGAGGAGGAGUCGAGGUCGGCCACGAAACUGGAGCAUGGAGGCGCGGUUGCGACGGCGCUCUAGGUGGUGGUGAGGUCGACACCGGAUCAGAGGGCGCUGCUGCGCCGGGCGAGGGCCGCGGCGGCUCCCUCGGAUCGCUGCUUCACUCAAACAUUUCGUCGAGCGCGUAGUAAUUUUGCUUCAGGAUCUCCUUGCGGUCGGAGAAGAUGGCGUCGCGAUCUCGGAACGGGCCGCAAAGAGGAAGUGGCGGUGCGCAACUGAACCCGGCGAGGAUUAUGGUGGCCUCGGGGCUGACAGCCUCAAGGCGGG
This 409-nucleotide long non-coding RNA is filed under the name Ananas comosus (pineapple). RNAcentral describes it as "long non-coding RNA (ACOM_LNC003204)". Lineage: Eukaryota; Viridiplantae; Streptophyta; Magnoliopsida; Poales; Bromeliaceae. The record is from RNAcentral.